CCUACGGGUGGCAGCAGUGGGGAAUAUUGGGCAAUGGACGCAAGUCUGACCCAGCAACGCCGCGUGAAGGAAGAAGGCUUUCGGGUUGUAAACUUCUUUUAUGGGGGAAGAGCAGAAGACGGUACCCCUUGAUUAAGCCACGGCUAACUGCGUGCCAGCAGCCGCGGUAAUACGUAGGUGGCAAGCGUUGUCCAGCUUUACUGGGUGUAAAGGGCGUGCAUCCGGAGGUACAAGUCAGAUGUGAACUCCACGGGGUCAAACCGUGAACUGCAUUUGACACUGUUUCCCUUGAGUGUCAGAGAGGUAAUCGGAAUUCCGUGUGGAGCGGUGAAAUGCGUAGAUAUAAGGAAGAACACCAGUGGCGAAGGCGGAUUACUGGACGAUAACUGACGGUGAGGCGCGAAAGCGUGGGGAGCAAACAGGAUUAGAUACCCUGGUAGUC
This 442-nucleotide ribosomal RNA is filed under the name uncultured bacterium. RNAcentral's name for it is "partial 16S ribosomal RNA". It matches the Rfam family "Bacterial small subunit ribosomal RNA", at positions 338 to 795 of the family's 1533-position model. The record is from RNAcentral.